Molecule: ribosomal RNA, 71 nt
Filed under: Gallibacterium anatis IPDH697-78
Lineage: Bacteria; Pseudomonadati; Pseudomonadota; Gammaproteobacteria; Pasteurellales; Pasteurellaceae
Description: partial 23S ribosomal RNA
Source: RNAcentral
GCGGUGUGAGCCGUUGAGCUAACCCAUACUAAUUGCCCGAGAGGCUUAACUAUACAACGCUGAAGGGUUUU